UAUCUACCAUCCGUCUGAGGUUUUUCG
RNAcentral lists this small RNA (27 nucleotides) under Bombyx mori (domestic silkworm). RNAcentral describes it as "ovarian small RNA-23742". The record is from RNAcentral. Lineage: Eukaryota; Metazoa; Arthropoda; Insecta; Lepidoptera; Bombycidae.